UACAGAGGUCCCGAGCGUUGUUCGGAUUCAUUGGGCGUAAAGGGUGCGUAGGCGGCGGGGCAAGUCUGAUGUGAAAUCCCGGGGCUCAACCCCGGAACUGCAUUGGAUACUGCCUUGCUCGAGUACUGGAGAGGGAACUGGAAUUUACGGUGUAGCAGUGAAAUGCGUAGAGAUCGUAAGGAAGGCCAGUGGCGAAGGCGAGUUCCUGGACAGUUACUGACGCUGAGGCACGAAGGCCAGGGGAGCAAACGGG
RNAcentral lists this ribosomal RNA (253 nucleotides) under uncultured bacterium. RNAcentral describes it as "partial 16S ribosomal RNA". It matches the Rfam family "Bacterial small subunit ribosomal RNA", at positions 524 to 776 of the family's 1533-position model. The record is from RNAcentral.